RNAcentral lists this ribosomal RNA (468 nucleotides) under uncultured bacterium. Its description in RNAcentral is "partial 16S ribosomal RNA". It matches the Rfam family "Bacterial small subunit ribosomal RNA", at positions 28 to 507 of the family's 1533-position model. The record is from RNAcentral.
GACGAACGCUGGCGGCGGGCUUAACACAUGCAAGUCGAACGGAAAGGCCCUGCUUUUGUGGGGUGCUCGAGUGGCGAACGGGUGAGUAACACGUGAGUAACCUGCCCUUGACUUUGGGAUAACUUCAGGAAACUGGGGCUAAUACCGGAUAGGAUCUCCUGCUGCAUGGUGGGGGUUGGAAAGUUUCGGCGGUUGGGGAUGGACUCGCGGCUUACCAGCUUGUUGGUGGGGUAGUGGCUUACCAAGGCUUUGACGGGUAGACGGCCAGAGAGGGUGACCGGCCGCACUGGGACUGAGAGACGGCACAGACGCCUACGGGAGGCAGCAGUGGGGAAGAUUGCACAAUGGGCGGAGGCCUGAUGCAGCAACGCCGCGUGCGGGAUAACGGCCUUCGGGUUGUAAACCGCUUUCGCCUGUGACGAAGCGUGAGUGACGGUAAUGGGUAGAGAAGCACCGGCUAACUACGUG